UGGGGAAUCUUGCGCAAUGGGCGAAAGCCUGACGCAGCGACGCCGCGUGCGGGAGGACGGCCUUCGGGUCGUAAACCGCUGUUGCCCGGGACGAAUGCCCCUUUCGAGGGGAUUGACGGUACCGGGUGAGGAAGCACCGGCUAACUCCGUGCCAGCAGCCGCGGUAAUACGGAGGGUGCGAGCGUUGUCCGGAAUCACUGGGCGUAAAGGGCGCGUAGGCGGCGCGGGAAGGCGGCGGUGAAAGUCCGGGGCUCAACCCCGGAUCGGCCGUGGCGACUCCCGCGCUGGAGCACAGUAGAGGCGGGUGGAAUUCCGGGUGUAGCGGUGGAAUGCGUAGAGAUCCGGAAGAACACCGGUGGCGAAGGCGGCCCGCUGGGCUGUGGCUGACGCUGAGGCGCGACAGCGUGGGGAGC
This 413-nucleotide ribosomal RNA is filed under the name uncultured Gemmatimonas sp. RNAcentral describes it as "bacterial SSU rRNA". It matches the Rfam family "Bacterial small subunit ribosomal RNA", at positions 355 to 769 of the family's 1533-position model. The record is from RNAcentral. Lineage: Bacteria; Pseudomonadati; Gemmatimonadota; Gemmatimonadia; Gemmatimonadales; Gemmatimonadaceae.